RNAcentral lists this transfer RNA (73 nucleotides) under Marmota monax (woodchuck). It matches the Rfam family "tRNA". Rfam says of the family: Transfer RNA (tRNA) molecules are approximately 80 nucleotides in length. Their secondary structure includes four short double-helical elements and three loops (D, anti-codon, and T loops). The record is from Rfam by way of RNAcentral. Lineage: Eukaryota; Metazoa; Chordata; Mammalia; Rodentia; Sciuridae.
UGGGUUGUGGCUCAGUGGUAGAGUGCUUGCCUUAGCACAUGUGAGACACUGAGUUUGAACCUCAGCAUCACAU